This 468-nucleotide ribosomal RNA is filed under the name uncultured bacterium. Its description in RNAcentral is "partial 16S ribosomal RNA". It matches the Rfam family "Bacterial small subunit ribosomal RNA", at positions 28 to 507 of the family's 1533-position model. The record is from RNAcentral.
GACGAACGCUGGCGGCGUGCUUAACACAUGCAAGUCGAACGGAAAGGCGCUGCUCUUGUUGGGUGGUCGGGUGGCGAACGGGAGAGUAACACGUGAGUAACCUGACCUUCACUCUGGGAUAACUUCACGAAACUGGGGCGAAUACCGGAUAGGAGCUCCUGCUGCAGGGUGAGGGUUGGUAAGUGUCGGCGGUUGUGGCUGGAGUCGCGGCUUAUGAGCUUGUUGGUGGGGUAGGUGCGUACCAAGGCUUUGAAGGGUAGCCGGCCUGAGAGGGUGACCGGCCACAGUGGGACUGAGAUACGGGCCAGAAUCGUACGGGAGGCAGCAGUGGGGAAUAUUGCACAGUGGGGGGAAGCCUGAUGCGACGGCGCCGCGUGCGGGAUGACCGCCUUCGGGUUGUGAACCGCUUUCGCCUGUGACGAGGCGUGAGUGACGGUAAUGGGUAAAGAAGCACCGGCUAACUACGUG